Oncorhynchus tshawytscha (Chinook salmon) is the source of this 850-nucleotide long non-coding RNA. RefSeq lists it as uncharacterized. The transcript has 4 exons. NCBI's taxonomy places the organism in Eukaryota, Metazoa, Chordata, Actinopteri, Salmoniformes, Salmonidae. The record is from RefSeq and is a predicted model, not a curated record.
CUUGCUUAAUGCCAAAGUUGGAGUUCUGUGCUGUCAUGUGCUGUAUUAAAAGUGAUAAUUUCCAACUAUUUCUAUGUCAUCCUUUUUAGGACCUUACUCAUGAACACUGGUGCUGUGUUAAACUUCAAACUUAAGAAAAAGGAGUCACAAGGACAAUUUGGAGAUGAACCUCGUGGACCAACUACAGGUGACAACAUCAGAGAGUUCCUCCAGAGUCUACGCUACUUCCGGAUUUUCAUUGCCUUAUGGAACAUAUUCAUGAUGUUUUGCAUGAUUCUAUUGUUUGGAUAGUGAUCAACAUCGUUUUUGGAUUGGGGGCCCCUGCACAAAAAAUAACUUUUUUGAGUUGAGAUUCAUGUCGGAUCCUGUGACCAUUAUGUGCAGUAUCGCAAUAUUUUUGCGCUAGUUAGUUGUACCUGCAUCAAAACUACAGUAUUUUAUCUUCAUAGCUUUUAGAAAUAGGGAGCCAAUUAUUUUUUCAGCCCAUUUAUUUCCAUGACUGACCUAAACUGCUUCUCAUGGUUCUCUCGUCACACUGCAGCGGAUAUAUGGUUAGCAAUAUGUUUUGAACAUCGAAUCGCAAUACAUAUUGUAUCGGUAUCUAAGUAUCGUGAUAAUAUCGUAUCAUGAGGUCCCUGGCAAUUCUCAGCCCUAUUGCUGACCUGUUAUCUAUAGUCCUCAUUUUCUUCUAAAACUUGUGAACGGAAUGAGAACCAUUUGACAUGUUUGAUGUUUGUCUUACUAAGGCCUUCUGAUGUUAAGAGCAUUCAGACUUAAUUUUAUCAUUGCUUUGUUGCAUACUUUUGUCUAUGAUCUAGUUUUGUAUAAUAAAACUUUACUCUAAAAUGCA